UCGUAUGCGACAACAGGAGAAAAUUCAUUCAGUUGCAGAAAUCCCAAGCAACGCUCAUAUUUUUCUCCAAGUCCUAUUGUUGCGGUCUUGUUUUCAGAGCAGUUCGGUGUCGGAAGUCGGAGAAAAUUACCGAGAAACCGGGAGAUAAAUAGCCCACAUAUUUCAACAUUAGUAACCGGAGGAAACGGCCAUAUCAGCAUGCUAAUAUACGCGGUCCGACAAGUGGCCCGGAAGAGGCCACCUUUACAAUAUUAUUUCGAGAGUUACCUUAAGCUUCAAACAAUGAAAUAAAACUAAAAAAAAUAA
This is a long non-coding RNA of Armigeres subalbatus, 306 nucleotides long. RefSeq lists it as uncharacterized. The transcript is spliced from 2 exons. Lineage: Eukaryota; Metazoa; Arthropoda; Insecta; Diptera; Culicidae. The record is from RefSeq and is a predicted model, not a curated record.